GCAAACAGAGAAACUGAGGCAGGGAGUCUGACCUGCCCAGGGUUUUCUAGCUUCUCAGCUCCUCUCUCCAUAUUCCUCAGCUCAAAAGUCUAAGGCUCAGUGGUUGCCGAGUGGGUGGGCACUAUGAAGAGCUGUUUAGGGAGGUGCUGGAUGGCUGUGCCCCUGGCUGGAAAACAAGCCACACCAAUGGAUGCCUGGGUCAAGUUUAGGUCCCACACAACCGCUCCCCUUCUCAGACCUUUCGCAAGCACCCUCCAUUUCAGGCAGGACACCAAGGAAUGAAUGGCAGGGCCAGCAUUCCUGGACCUGUGCACUGAGGGUAUUUUUAGCCUUUGCCCUGCCUGGGCAUUUGCACUGUGUCUAAUGUUCUCAGGAAACCACCCAAAUGCACACCCAGGAGCCUGGCGGGCUCUUAGAGUCUCUGGGAACUGCACCCUGCCCUGAUCCUGCGGCUCAGGAUCCAGAUCCCCCUUCCAAGAUAGAAUCAGCUCCUAUUAGUGAAGAAUGCAUCCCCACCCACAACACACACAAAGGCUUGUGGCUCAGAAACCAGGAGGUGUGAGGCAUAGAACCUGUGACCUUGGGGAAUCACGGUCUGGACCUGGAAAGUCAGGGGAAGACCUCAGCUGUGCCAGGGGGACCAUCAGGCCAGACGGUUGCUGAGGGGCAAGAUGCCGCAUCUUGGAGAUCUCUCUUACUGGGGCUGGGCUAACUCUGGCUGUGCUGUCCCUGUUCUCCUCACCAGCGCGGUUUUCCAGGAGCCAAGAAGCAAUUCUGGAAUGUACAGGUAAAUCUUCACAGGUAAAGUAUAAAGGCUUUCCCAUCUUCUGCUUCUUCUUUGCUCCCUUUUCUCGAACUCAUUACUCUUCUCUUCCUGGAUGUUGCGGGGUGCUGGUGGGACCAGGGGGUUUCACAAAGGGCAGGAGCCUGCCACGUGCCUGGGGGGCACUGUCCUGUGCUGGGUCUCAGUUUCCUCCUUUGUGAGGCUGGGAGUCGCGACGCCUAUCUUGCAUGGCAGGUAAGUUGCUCUCCGCAGGGACUGUCACUUUUUUGUCUGGCACUCACGGUCAGAAAUACAUUUUACAUAUUGACCAAGUGCCCGCGUAAAUAAAUACACACGUGAAAUAAAUGCUUCACAGAGCGACACUUACUCACUGCAUGGAAUGAUCUCUGGUAUUUCCUAUCUAAUUGUUUCACUUUCGUCAAGUGCUAGUCCCCACCACGUUUUUUUCAGGACGCGGUAUUGGUCCCUGAUCUGAUGUGCACGGUCAAGAGGGAGAGACAGAAAAAAAGCAAGCGCACAGGCGCACACAUGAUCACUACCGGAGCGAAGCGCGGCGCAGGGAAGAGCGGGGUCUGAGCCAAGGGGAGAGGGGCGGGCCCAUUUCUGCACUUCACAGCGAGGCCUCGGGCAAGGCGGCAGGCAGGCCAGGUCAGACCCGGCUUUGAGGCUCUGGUGGCGGGCUGGGAUUUAUUUUAAGGGACAUGGAACGCCACCGCAGGUUUGGGGGAGGGGCAGGAUUAAAGGAGAAGAUGCGCUCAGCACGUUAUAUUUAGUGGCUGACGCGCCGGAAGGGCUCGUUACCCGCAGCUACCACUGCGCCCCACGCCCGGAGCGCGGCCCCAGCUUCGCCCCCCGGGGCAGGGAUCCCCGGUCCCCGCCUUCACCACCUGGGGCAGGAACCCCAGUCCCCCUAUCCUGUCUUCACUCCUCGGGGCAGCGACCCCGGCCUCCGCCUUCGUCCCCCGGGGCAGGGACCCACGGUCCCCGCCUUCGCCCCGCGAGCAAGGAUCCCAACCCGCCAGUGCUGGAGACGAAGAGAGUGAGGGCGGAACCUGGCCCGGCGGCCUCCCAGCCAGGGUGGACAAAGCUGUCCCGGCACGCUUCGGCAGAGGGGAAACUGAGGCCAGGGGACUGAGUCCGCAGGCUCGCAGAGCGGGGGCCUGGGGCGGGGCCGGCACGCGCGGCGGGCGGGGCCUGGCCCCGCCCCUCCCGGCGCACGCGCCUC
RNAcentral lists this long non-coding RNA (2009 nucleotides) under Equus asinus (donkey). Its description in RNAcentral is "lncRNA (ENSEASG00005024406.1)". The record is from RNAcentral. Lineage: Eukaryota; Metazoa; Chordata; Mammalia; Perissodactyla; Equidae.